CGUAUAUUAAAGUUGUUGCAGUUAAAAAGCUCGUAGUUGGAUUUGUGGCGUAUGGUGUGUUCCGGGCACUUGUUGUCUGAGUAACCUGCUGUUGCCAUCCUUGGGUGGAACCUGUGUGGCAUUAGGUUGUCGUGCAGGGGAUGCCCAUCAUUUACUGUGAAAAAAUUAGAGUGUUCAAAGCAGGCUUAUGCCGUUGAAUAUAUUAGCAUGGAAUAAUGAGAUAGGACUUUUUUACUAUUUUGUUGGUUCGCGUAAAGAGGUAAUGAUUAAUAGGGACAGUUGGGGG
This 286-nucleotide ribosomal RNA is filed under the name uncultured diatom. Its description in RNAcentral is "partial 18S ribosomal RNA". It matches the Rfam family "Eukaryotic small subunit ribosomal RNA", at positions 598 to 888 of the family's 1831-position model. Lineage: Eukaryota; Bacillariophyta. The record is from RNAcentral.